This 448-nucleotide ribosomal RNA is filed under the name uncultured bacterium. Its description in RNAcentral is "bacterial SSU rRNA". It matches the Rfam family "Bacterial small subunit ribosomal RNA", at positions 29 to 524 of the family's 1533-position model. The record is from RNAcentral.
AACGAACGCUGGCGGCAGGCCUAACACAUGCAAGUCGAACGCACCGCAAGGUGAGUGGCGCACGGGUGAGUAACACGUGGGAAUGUACCCUUUGGUUCGGAAUAACGUUUGGAAACGAACGCUAAUACCGGAUGAGCCCUGUGGGGGAAAGAUUUAUCGCCAAAGGAGCAGCCCGCGUCUGAUUAGCUAGUUGGUGGGGUAAAGGCCUACCAAGGCGACGAUCAGUAGCUGGUCUGAGAGGAUGAUCAGCCACACUGGGACUGAGACACGGCCCAGACUCCUACGGGAGGCAGCAGUGGGGAAUAUUGGACAAUGGGCGGAAGCCUGAUCCAGCCAUGCCGCGUGAGUGAUGAAGGCCUUCGGGUUGUAAAGCUCUUUCGCACGCGACGAUGAUGACGGUAGCGUGAGAAGAAGCCCCGGCUAACUUCGUGCCAGCAGCCGCGGUAAU